This 253-nucleotide ribosomal RNA is filed under the name uncultured bacterium. RNAcentral describes it as "partial 16S ribosomal RNA". It matches the Rfam family "Bacterial small subunit ribosomal RNA", at positions 524 to 776 of the family's 1533-position model. The record is from RNAcentral.
UACGUAGGGUGCAGGCGUUAAUCGGAAUUACUGGGCGUAAAGCGUGCGCAGGCGGUCUGCUAAGAGAGAUGUGAAAUCCCCGGGCUUAACCUGGGAACUGCGUUUCUAACUGGCAGGCUUGAGUGCGGCAGAGGGGGGUGGAAUUCCACGUGUAGCAGUGAAAUGCGUAGAGAUGUGGAGGAACACCGAUGGCGAAGGCAGCCCCCUGGGCUAACACUGACGCUCAUGCACGAAAGCGUGGGGAGCAAACAGG